UGGUGCGCUCGGAGGGACUCGAACCCCCGACACCUUGGUUCGAAGCCAAGUACUCUAUCCAGCUGAGCUACGAGCGC
This 77-nucleotide transfer RNA is filed under the name Legionella pneumophila subsp. pneumophila str. Philadelphia 1. RNAcentral's name for it is "tRNA-Arg". The record is from RNAcentral. RNAcentral also lists the same sequence under 1 other name. Lineage: Bacteria; Pseudomonadati; Pseudomonadota; Gammaproteobacteria; Legionellales; Legionellaceae.